This 253-nucleotide ribosomal RNA is filed under the name uncultured bacterium. Its description in RNAcentral is "partial 16S ribosomal RNA". It matches the Rfam family "Bacterial small subunit ribosomal RNA", at positions 524 to 776 of the family's 1533-position model. The record is from RNAcentral.
UACGGAGGAUCCAAGCGUUGUCCGGAUUUAUUGGGUUUAAAGGGUGCGUAGGCGGCCUGCUGCGUCGGUGCUGAAAGCGCCCGGCUUAACCGGGCGAGGCGUGCCGAUACGAGCGGGCUGGAGCCUUGGCGAGGGUGGCGGAACUCCUGGUGUAGUGGUGAAAUGCGUAGAGAUCAGGAAGAACACCCGUGGCGCAAGCGGCCACCUGGCCAAGAGCUGACGCUGAGGCACGAGAGCGUGGGGAGCGAACCGG